This 202-nucleotide long non-coding RNA is filed under the name Elaeis guineensis (African oil palm). RNAcentral's name for it is "long non-coding RNA (EGUI_LNC055240)". The record is from RNAcentral. Lineage: Eukaryota; Viridiplantae; Streptophyta; Magnoliopsida; Arecales; Arecaceae.
UAUUUAUUUUGGGCCCUUUUAUUGAGGACUGAAGGAUUCCAUACUGGGGUCGACUGAGAGAUUCUAUCCUUCAGAUCCCAAAGUUAGAAAAAAAGGACAUAAAGUACUUCAAGAUCUUGCAGGGGUACAAAAUUCCUCCUUCAAAGCAAUUGCUGUUAGAGCAGACCCUCCAUAAUACUGAUCUUAGUCUGACCAACCCCAA